Molecule: ribosomal RNA, 203 nt
Filed under: uncultured bacterium
Lineage: Bacteria
Description: partial 16S ribosomal RNA
Rfam family: Bacterial small subunit ribosomal RNA
Source: RNAcentral
UACAUGGGGGUGCAAACGUUGCUCGGAAUUAUUGGGCGUAAAGCGCACGUAGGCGGUUCGUUAAGUCGGAUGUGAAAGCCCUCGGCUCAACUGAGGAAGUGCACCCGAAACUGGCGAGCUUGAGUACGAAAGAGGAUCGCGGAAUUCCCGGUGUAGAGGUGAAAAUUUCGUAGAUAUCGGGGAGGAACACCGGUGGCGAAGGC